Molecule: transfer RNA, 66 nt
Filed under: Potamilus streckersoni
Lineage: Eukaryota; Metazoa; Mollusca; Bivalvia; Unionida; Unionidae
Description: tRNA-Arg
Source: RNAcentral
AAGAAGAAAGCAACAAGCAAUACGGUUUCGGCCCGUAAAAGGAAUUUACAAUUAAUUCUCUCCUUU